Molecule: non-coding RNA, 54 nt
Organism: Salmo salar (Atlantic salmon)
Lineage: Eukaryota; Metazoa; Chordata; Actinopteri; Salmoniformes; Salmonidae
Source: Rfam
GGGUAGGACAAAUGUAAGUCCCUCUGGAUAAGAGCAUCUGCUAAAUGACUAAAA